RNA transcript from Larimichthys crocea (large yellow croaker), 3254 nucleotides. It is a transcript of the gene named inhibitor of nuclear factor kappa B kinase subunit epsilon, with no coding region annotated. Lineage: Eukaryota; Metazoa; Chordata; Actinopteri; Sciaenidae. The record is from RefSeq and is a predicted model, not a curated record. The transcript is spliced from 23 exons.
ACCGCCUCACUUCCUAAAAAAAGAAAAGAAACAGACAGCACAAUGCAGUGCUGCCAGCUGCUGUCUUUGGAGGUGAACUCGUGAACUGAUUUAAAGUCACAGAAAGAAAGAAGCUGUACCUGUCCCGGCAGCAGCGGCAGCCAUUGUUAGACCAGCCAGCUGUGUGCCGUGCCGUGCCGUGCCGUGCUGCGAGAGUCUGCAUAUCCGGGACAGAUAGUUUACAUGAAAGCACGGCGAACUUCUGCACCGCUCCAGCAUGUCCGUGUUAACAGCCAGCACAGCUAACUACCUGUGGUCCUUACACGAUGUCCUCGGUCAAGGUGCUACAGCCAGUGUCUACAAGGCACGCAAUAAGAAAUCGGGUGAGCUGGUAGCCGUCAAAGUGUUCAAUGUGGUGAGCUACAACCGCCCACACGAGGUCCAGAUGAGAGAGUUUGAGAUGCUGAGGAAGCUCAACCACAGCAACAUUGUCAAGCUGUUCACCGUGGAAGAGCUGCCCUCCAAACAAAAGGUGCUGGUCAUGGAGUAUUGUUCAGGAGGAAGUCUGCUCGGCCUGCUCGAGGAGCCAGAAAAUGCCUUUGGCCUGCCUGAAACAGAGUUCCUCACAGUUUUACAGUGUGUAGUUCAGGGGAUGAACCACCUGCGGGAAAACGGAGUGGUGCACCGGGACAUUAAGCCAGGCAACAUCAUGAGGCAGGUCGGGGAGGACGGCAAGUCUGUUUAUAAGCUGACCGACUUUGGAGCAGCAAGAGAGCUGGAAGAUGACGAGAAAUUUCUGUCUAUCUAUGGAACGGAAGAGUAUCUGCAUCCAGACAUGUAUGAGCGUGCCGUGCUGCGGAAGCCUCAUCAGAAAUCCUAUGGCGUGAGCGUAGACCUGUGGAGUAUCGGUGUGACGUUUUACCACGCUGCCACUGGGAGUCUUCCCUUCAUACCGUACGGAGGACCUCGCAGGAACAAGCCCACCAUGUACAAAAUAACGACAGAGAAGCCUAUGGGGGCAAUAUCUGGAAUACAGCGGGUGCUGGAUGGACAGAUAGAGUGGAGCUACCACCUACCUCACAGCUGCCAGCUCUCACAGGGUCUGACCGUGCAGCUGGUUCCAGUACUAGCAGGUAUACUGGAGGCUGACCAGGAGAGGUGUUGGGGUUUCGACCAGUUCUUCACAGCCACCACAGACAUACUGCAGCGGCAGCCAGUUCACCUCUUCGCUCUGCAGCAGGCCAUGGCGCAUUGCAUCUACAUACACCACUACAACACGGUGUCGGUAUUCUACGAGGAGGUGGCGUCCCAGACUGGCAUAGGAGUACAGCUGCAACAUCUGCUGUACCUGGGGCACGACCUGCCUCUGGAGGGCAACAUGAAGGUGGUCAACCUCCCGAGUACUUCACCUACACGGCCCCUCAUCCUGCUCAGCUACGGGAUCGAAGCAAAUACCAGCCUGCCCUUCAGGGAACCGGAGACUCCAGUCAUCCCAUCCAGGUUUGAUGUAUUGGCAGACUACAACUACUCCAGGGUGAUAGUGGGAGUGGUGCACCAGUAUCUGAGGAUAGUACAGUUGCUGCACACACACCGAGAGCUGCUGCUGCAAGGAUACUACAGCUACAUGAUGAGGCUGCGAAAGGAGUGUGGAGAGGCGAUGCACAGCAUAGCGAUGAUCACCAUCAGACUGCAGUCUUGCCUCAACACAGAACACAGGAUUCACACAGUAGGCCAUAACUCUUCAGAAAACCAAGGUCCGGUUGAUAACAGUCAGAAGCUGCAGCUGGUCCACGAGCACCUGCCCAUGUACGCCGCUGGCAUCCAAGAGUUCCAGAACCGACUGGACCAUCUGCAGAUAGAGCAGGCCAAGUUAGCAGAGGCGCUGGCCAAUGACAAGAGCUCUCAGAAGAUGGAGAUGCUGCUGCAGAAGAUAACGACAAUUCAUCAGCAUUAUCGUAAAGACAGACUUACUGGCAAGUUGGCAUAUAACGAUGAGCAAAUCCACAAGUUUGAGAAAAUCCACCUGUCGUCCCACAUUAAGCGUGUGAAAUCUCUCUUCAGAGAGGACUGCGUGCAGCGAUACAAAGAGCUUUUGGCCUCGACAAAGACUUGGAGCGGUGUUUUACUGGAGAUGCACACCAGACUGCAGGACUUCAGCUUCUUCUCCAAAGGCUUGUUAGCAGACCUGGAGAUGAGUGAGCAGAACCAGAACAAGGUUUUGGACAGGAUCCUUUUCAGCAUGCAGUCCAAGAGAGCAGGACAACAACAGCCUGCAAUCACACCCACAGACAAAGACCAGAUGGUCUCUAGGAUGCACCGUCUGAAGGAGGAAAUGGAGAUCUUGGUGAGGGAACUACAGUGCAACAACAGCAUGAUUGAGAGUCUGGGAGCGGUGAACUCUCCUGCAGCUCUGGAGCCGAGUCUGGCCCGACCUUCUACCCUGUGACGUGCAGCAUCUCUGAUCUUAACUCACACACUCGCCCCGACAGGCACAAGGUUUUUUUUUUUAAUCGCCUCUCACGGACACUGACGGCGGGUGUGCUGGAUCUUCUUUCAAGGACCGGCUGCGACCCGUGGUGGCUCAGGAAGAGGAAGCAGCCAAAGACGAUCAAUAAAAUGUGAAGCUCGGUUUAGAGAUAAGAUGCAGAGAACAGAGGAGGAGGAAACGCCACUGAUAGGUCUUUAAUCUGUGUGUGUGUGUGUGUGUGUGUGUGUGUGUGUGUGAGAGUCUGAGAAGAGGUUACUGUCAUACAUCUGUUGUGUCACAUUGAUCUGCCCCCCCCCCCUGUGCAAGCCUUGUUCAUCAGCCUUGAUGCCUCCUGGCAGCUCAUUUAUCAUGUGAGUGGCUGGAACACAGAAUAAGCAUCAUCCUACUGAAAACACUGUUUGGUGAGUGAAGAUCCAACGUGAAGUUUAACGCGUUCGUUAAUGUUUGUUAACCUGAGGAUUCAGAUUCUACAGAAGCUUCUCCUCUGCGGUGCGUGGGAGAGGUUUCCGUAGAAACAAUGCUGAUAUUUUUGCACUAGAAUGAGUUCAUGUGUGUUUGUGUGUGUGUGUGUAGAGACCGUUUUCCACGGUACCACAGUUACCAUAGCAACUAAUGGUUUUGUUGGCACCGUACACACUUCCUAACAUUUGGUUUUGGUCUAUAUUCAGUUACAGUAUAACAGCAGCAUGUACAGUAUUACUCAAACAGGGCGGUGUUAGGUGGCCCUUGUUUGCAGUUGACUCAUGAAGGUGCACGGAUGAUUUUCUCUAAGCGAAAAAAAAAAAAA